Molecule: ribosomal RNA, 493 nt
Filed under: uncultured bacterium
Lineage: Bacteria
Description: partial 16S ribosomal RNA
Rfam family: Bacterial small subunit ribosomal RNA
Source: RNAcentral
GAUGAACGCUAGCUACAGGCUUAACACAUGCAAGUCGUGGGGCAGCGGAUACUUAGCUUGCUAAGUAUGCCGGCGACCGGCGCACGGGUGAGUAACGCGUACCGAACCUGCCCAUCACACAGGGAUAGGCUUGCGAAAGCAAGAUUAAUAUCUGAUGGUCUCAAUUUUAUGCAUGUAUGAUUGAGUAAGGCCUUCGGGCGGUGAUGGAUGGCGGUGCGUCCCAUUAGGAAGUUGGCGGGGUAACGGCCCACCAAUCCUUCGAUGGGUAGGGGUGCUGAGAGGAUGGUCCCCCACAUUGGAACUGAGAGACGGUCCAACCUCCGACGGGAGGCAGCGGUGAGGAUUCUUGGUCAAUGGGCGGGAGCCUGAACCAGCCAAGUGGCGUUCGGGAUGAAGGCCCUUGUGGUCGUAACCCGCUUUUAUCAGUGAAUAAAGUGCACCACGUGUGGUGUCAUUGCAGGUAGCUGAAGAAAAAGGACCGGCUAAUUCCGUG